CGCCCCUGCCUCAAUCCGGCCGAUCCAGACUGCCCCGCCACAGCCCCCAACAAAAAUUCAACCAAACCUCUUGAUAUGGCCCUUGUUUUGAAUGGUGGAUGUCAUGGCUUAUCCAGAAAGUAUAUGCACUGGCAGGAGGAGUUGAUUGUGGGUGGCACAGUCAAGAACAGCACUGGAAAACUCAUCAGGUAAGCCAGCUCCCGAGGACAAUCUAUGCCCUGCAGUCUUCUUUCCUCAAAAGCCACUUACAUCCUGACAUCGGCAAGUGUAUUUGUAUUAAUACUUAAACCAUUAUCC
This 297-nucleotide small RNA is filed under the name Pongo abelii (Sumatran orangutan). Its description in RNAcentral is "retained intron". The record is from RNAcentral. Lineage: Eukaryota; Metazoa; Chordata; Mammalia; Primates; Hominidae.